Molecule: long non-coding RNA, 713 nt
Filed under: Mytilus galloprovincialis (Mediterranean mussel)
Lineage: Eukaryota; Metazoa; Mollusca; Bivalvia; Mytilida; Mytilidae
Source: RNAcentral
GCCCUUCAAAAAAUGGUAAACAAAAAAUCCCCCCAACUUUUUGAACCCCCCUUGGAGCAAUAACCCUUAAACUCAAUCCCAUGCUUUCCAUUGCAGUAUUGAACCUUGUAGUACAAUUUCAGAGAGAUCCAUACACUUAAACACAAGUUAUUGACAUAAUUGUUUGGAAACUAGAAUCAUGCUUCUUUUUGGCCCCUAAUUCCUACAUAUUUUGGGCAAUUAACCCAAAACUUAAUCCCAGCCUCCCCUUUGUUAUAUGGUACAUUGUGGUACAAUUUCAGAGAGAUCCAUACAAUUACACAUAAGUUAUUGUCUUGAAACUAGAAAAAAGCUUGUUUUGACCCCUUUUUGGCCCUUAAUUCCUAAACUUUGGCUCCAUAACCCCUAAAAUGAAUCCAAACCUUCUACUUGUGGUUUUAAACAUUGAGGUAUGAUUUUAGAGCAAUUGAAAUACUUCUACACAAGUUAUUAUCCUGAAACUAGAAAAAUGCUUGUUUUGGGCCCCUAAUUCCUAAUCGGUUGGGACCAUCAUCCACAAAAUCAAUCCCAACCUUCCUUUUGUGGUAUUGAACCUUCUGAAAAAAUUUCAUGAAGAUCUAUUCACUUAAACUAAAGUUAUUAUCUGGAAACCAAUGUGUCUUCGGACGACAACGCAGACGACGACAUCAUACCAAUAUACGAUCCCAAAAAAUUUUUGGGGUCGUAUAAAAAUU